Long non-coding RNA from Zea mays, 149 nucleotides. RefSeq lists it as uncharacterized. The record is from RefSeq and is a predicted model, not a curated record. The transcript has 2 exons. NCBI's taxonomy places the organism in Eukaryota, Viridiplantae, Streptophyta, Magnoliopsida, Poales, Poaceae.
AUGUAGUAAAAGCUGUGAAGAAGCAGUUGCAGCAUAAGGAUCCAAAAGUUAAAUUCUUUACUUUGACGUUAUUGGAGACAAUGAUGAAGAACUGUGGUGAAUAUGUUCAUUUUGAAGUUGUUGAUCAGCAUGUUUUAUAAGAGAUUGUU